UUUAUCAUCUCCACUAAAAUCAUGGAGCUCAGUCCCACAGCAGCUUCCCCCGUACCAUCAACCUUGAACUACAAGAAAACAGGAUCUGAAGGCAGAGAUGAAAUCUGACUGAGAAGGCAGCAAGAGUCUGAUCACCUGAGCGUAGGGAGCUCCCUUUUCUCCUGAG
Budorcas taxicolor (takin) is the source of this 166-nucleotide long non-coding RNA. RefSeq lists it as uncharacterized. The transcript is spliced from 3 exons. The record is from RefSeq and is a predicted model, not a curated record. Lineage: Eukaryota; Metazoa; Chordata; Mammalia; Artiodactyla; Bovidae.